This 104-nucleotide non-coding RNA is filed under the name Oceanobacillus iheyensis. RNAcentral describes it as "TPP sequence". It matches the Rfam family "TPP riboswitch aptamer (THI element)". Rfam says of the family: Vitamin B(1) in its active form thiamin pyrophosphate (TPP) is an essential coenzyme that is synthesised by coupling of pyrimidine and thiazole moieties in bacteria. The previously detected thiamin-regulatory element, thi box was extended, resulting in a new, highly conserved RNA secondary structure, the THI element, which is widely distributed in eubacteria and also occurs in some archaea. Lineage: Bacteria; Bacillati; Bacillota; Bacilli; Caryophanales; Bacillaceae. The record is from RNAcentral. RNAcentral also lists the same sequence under 1 other name.
AAAGCCUGCAAGGGGAGCCAUAUGGCUGAGAGUGGACGUAUAAUGUUCUGACCCUUUGAACCUGUUAGUUAGUACUAGCGUAGGGAUUGUAGUCUUUUUGAUGG